GCUCUUCCAGGAAGAUGGAAAGUGAGUGAUGACAGGAACGGAGUGUAGAGGGUAAUGGGGAGAGGUGGUCAGUGUAGAGGGUAAUGGGGAGAGGUGGUGAGUGUAGAGGGUAAUGGGGAGAGGUGGUGAGUGUAGAGGGUAAUGGGGAGAGGUGGUGAGUGUAGAGGGUAAUGGGGAGAGGUGGUGAGUGUAGAGGGUUAUGGGGAGAGGUGCUGAGUGAAGAGAGUAAUGGGGAGAGGUGCUGAGUGUAGAGGGUAAUGGGGAGAGGUGGGGAGUGUAGAGGGUAAUGGGGAGGGGUGGGGAGUGUAGAGGGUAAUGGGGAGAGGUGGUGAAUG
Nanorana parkeri is the source of this 335-nucleotide long non-coding RNA. RefSeq lists it as uncharacterized. The record is from RefSeq and is a predicted model, not a curated record. Lineage: Eukaryota; Metazoa; Chordata; Amphibia; Anura; Dicroglossidae. The transcript has 3 exons.